AAACAAGGAGCGUUGGUAUGAGGCCCAUGCAUGUCGACUUUGUUUGAACGAAUGGAAUAAACGCAUUCCUUCAAUAUAAGCAAAGUACGUACGUACAUGUGGGGAGAGGAAGACCAAGUCGUUUGGAGUAUGCGGCUGCCUCACCCUCUGCUGCAACAUGGUCCCUGCAUCUUACCAAAGGUAGAAGAUAGAUCGAUUAUGAAGAAACCAAAGGGGCGAGAGUCAGAGAACCUCCCUAAUGUACAAUAUAAGGACCGAAGGUAUAUCACAAAAGGUCCCCAAGGUACGUCGUCUACGUCAGAGGAGUAGUAACCUUCGAGAACUCUUGAAAGUUAUCGGCAGUCAGCACGGGAAGCAUGGAAAAAGUCCAAUAUGCCGAGCAAUACUGUGGACAUCUUGUAAAUGUAGAGUCUAACGUACGGUUGUAAGUGUGGAAGUUGAUACUAUUUUUUUCAACCUUCUUCCACUAUCAUAUAUGCCUUCGUAAUACUUGUGAAAGGCUACUGUUCUCUUGAUCCUUAAAGCCAGCAUCGAGGGUCUUGGAGGAAGCUUUUGCCACUUCAACAGUUUGG
This 572-nucleotide long non-coding RNA is filed under the name Zea mays. RNAcentral describes it as "long non-coding RNA NONZMAT001637". Lineage: Eukaryota; Viridiplantae; Streptophyta; Magnoliopsida; Poales; Poaceae. The record is from RNAcentral.